UAGGGAAUAUUGGUCAAUGGUCGGAAGACUGAACCAGCCAUGCCGCGUGCAGGAAGACUGCCCUAUGGGUUGUAAACUGCUUUUGUCAGGGAAAAAACCCUUCUACGUGUAGGAGGCUGAUGGUACCUGAAGAAUAAGGAUCGGCUAACUCCGUGCCAGCAGCCGCGGUAAUACGGAGGAUCCGAGCGUUGUCCGGAUUUAUUGGGUUUAAAGGGUGCGUAGGCGGGUCAAUAAGUCAGAGGUGAAAGCCUACAGCUUAACUGUAGAAUUGCCUUUGAAACUGUUGAUCUUGAGUGUGAUUGAGGUAGGCGGAAUGUGUCAUGUAGCGGUGAAAUGCUUAGAUAUGAUACAGAACACCGAUUGCGAAGGCAGCUUACUAAAUCAUAACUGACGCUGAGGCACGAAAGCAUGGGGAUCAAACAG
This 423-nucleotide ribosomal RNA is filed under the name uncultured bacterium. RNAcentral's name for it is "bacterial SSU rRNA". It matches the Rfam family "Bacterial small subunit ribosomal RNA", at positions 355 to 775 of the family's 1533-position model. The record is from RNAcentral.